RNAcentral lists this ribosomal RNA (754 nucleotides) under uncultured Thermus sp. RNAcentral's name for it is "bacterial SSU rRNA". It matches the Rfam family "Bacterial small subunit ribosomal RNA", at positions 81 to 850 of the family's 1533-position model. Lineage: Bacteria; Thermotogati; Deinococcota; Deinococci; Thermales; Thermaceae. The record is from RNAcentral.
CAGCAAUGCACCAGUGGCGGACGGGUGAGUAAUGAAUCGCUAACGUGCCCCAUAGUUCGGGAUAGCUACCCGAAAGGGUAGGUAAUACCGACAUGACAUCGCCGGGCGGCAUCGCCUGGCGCUCAAAGGGAAACCGCUGUGGGAGCGGGCGAUUUCGUAUCAGCUUGUUGGUGAGGUAACGGCUCACCAAGGCGACGACGCGUAGCCGGACUGAGAGGUUGGCCGGCCACAUUGGGACUGAGACACUGCCCAGACUCCUACGGGGGGCUGCAGUAACGAAUCUUCCGCAAUGCCCGCAAGGGUGACGGAGCGACGCCGCGUGGAGGACGAAGUCCUUCGGGAUGUAAACUCCUGUCAGGGGCUACCAAGUUCUGAGGGGCCCCAGAGGAAGGCACGGCUAACUCUGUGCCAGCAGCCGCGGUAAGACAGAGGUGCCGAGCGUUAGGCGGAAUCACUGGGCUUAAAGCGUGUGUAGGCGGGCCGUUAAGUGCCCCGUGAAAUCCCCCGGCUCAACCGGGGAACGGCGGGGCACACUGGCGGCCUUGAGCCACUUAAGGGCAGACGGAACAAGCGGUGGAGCGGUGAAAUGCGUAGAUAUCGCUUGGAACGCCGACGGCGAAAGCAGUCUGCUGGGGGUGUGCUGACGCUGAGACACGAAAGCCAGGGGAGCGAACGGGAUUAGAUACCCCGGUAGUCCUGGCCGUAAACGAUGUCGACUAGGUCGCGGGCGCCUCUGACGGUGCUCGCGGCCGAA